RNAcentral lists this ribosomal RNA (1365 nucleotides) under metagenome. RNAcentral describes it as "bacterial LSU rRNA". It matches the Rfam family "Bacterial large subunit ribosomal RNA", at positions 1579 to 2925 of the family's 2925-position model. The record is from RNAcentral.
UAGAUGACGAAGUGGUUGAUGCCAUGCUUCCAAGAAAAGCUUCUAAGCUUCAGGUAACCAGGAACCGUACCCCAAACCGACACAGGUGGUUGGGUAGAGAAUACCAAGGCGCUUGAGAGAACUCGGGUGAAGGAACUAGGCAAAAUGGCACCGUAACUUCGGGAGAAGGUGCGCCGGUGAGGGUGAAGCAUUUACUGCGUAAGCCCAUGCCGGUCGAAGAUACCAGGCCGCUGCGACUGUUUAUUAAAAACACAGCACUCUGCAAACACGAAAGUGGACGUAUAGGGUGUGACGCCUGCCCGGUGCCGGAAGGUUAAUUGAUGGGGUUAGCUAACGCGAAGCUCUUGAUCGAAGCCCCGGUAAACGGCGGCCGUAACUAUAACGGUCCUAAGGUAGCGAAAUUCCUUGUCGGGUAAGUUCCGACCUGCACGAAUGGCGUAACGAUGGCGGCGCUGUCUCCACCCGAGACUCAGUGAAAUUGAAAUCGCUGUGAAGAUGCAGUGUAUCCGCGGCUAGACGGAAAGACCCCGUGAACCUUUACUAUAGCUUUGCACUGGACUUUGAAUUUGCUUGUGUAGGAUAGGUGGGAGGCUUUGAAGCGUGGACGCCAGUUCGCGUGGAGCCAACCUUGAAAUACCACCCUGGCAACUUUGAGGUUCUAACUCAGGUCCGUUAUCCGGAUCGAGGACAGUGUAUGGUGGGUAGUUUGACUGGGGCGGUCUCCUCCUAAAGAGUAACGGAGGAGUACGAAGGUGCGCUCAGACCGGUCGGAAAUCGGUCGUAGAGUAUAAAGGCAAAAGCGCGCUUGACUGCGAGACAGACACGUCGAGCAGGUACGAAAGUAGGUCUUAGUGAUCCGGUGGUUCUGUAUGGAAGGGCCAUCGCUCAACGGAUAAAAGGUACUCCGGGGAUAACAGGCUGAUACCGCCCAAGAGUUCAUAUCGACGGCGGUGUUUGGCACCUCGAUGUCGGCUCAUCACAUCCUGGGGCUGAAGCCGGUCCCAAGGGUAUGGCUGUUCGCCAUUUAAAGUGGUACGCGAGCUGGGUUUAGAACGUCGUGAGACAGUUCGGUCCCUAUCUGCCGUGGACGUUUGAGAUUUGAGAGGGGCUGCUCCUAGUACGAGAGGACCGGAGUGGACGAACCUCUGGUGUUCCGGUUGUCACGCCAGUGGCAUUGCCGGGUAGCUAUGUUCGGAAUAGAUAACCGCUGAAAGCAUCUAAGCGGGAAACUAGCCUCAAGAUGAGAUCUCACUGGGACCUUGAGUCCCCUGAAGGGCCGUCGAAGACUACGACGUUGAUAGGUUGGGUGUGUAAGCGCUGUGAGGCGUUGAGCUAACCAAUACUAAUUGCCCGUGAGGCUUGACC